RNAcentral lists this ribosomal RNA (497 nucleotides) under uncultured bacterium. Its description in RNAcentral is "partial 16S ribosomal RNA". It matches the Rfam family "Bacterial small subunit ribosomal RNA", at positions 28 to 507 of the family's 1533-position model. The record is from RNAcentral.
GAUGAACGCUGGCGGCGUGCCUAAUACAUGCAAGUCGAGCGAACGGACGAGAAGCUUGCUUCUCUGAUGUUAGCGGCGGGCGGGUGAGUAACACGUGUAUAACCUACCUAUAAGACUGAGAUAACUUCGGGAAACCGGCGCUAAUCCCGGAUAAUAUUUUGAACCGCAUGGUUCAAAAGUGAAAGACGGUCUUGCUGUCACUUAUAGAUGGAUCCGCGCUGCAUUAGCUAGUUGGUAAGGUAACGGCUUACCAAGGCAACGAUGCAUAGCCGACCUGAGAGGGUGAUCGGCCACACGGGAAGUGAGACACGGUCCAGACUCCUACGGGAGGCAGCAGUAGGGAAUCUGACGCAAUGGGCGAAAGCCUGACGGAGCAACGCCGCGUGAGUGAUGAAGAUCUUCGGAGCGUGAAACUCUGUUAUUAGGGAAGAACAUAUGUGUAAGUAGCUGUGCACAUCUUGACGGUACCUAAUCAGAAAGCCACGGCUAACUACGUG